RNAcentral lists this ribosomal RNA (445 nucleotides) under Escherichia albertii. RNAcentral describes it as "bacterial SSU rRNA". It matches the Rfam family "Bacterial small subunit ribosomal RNA", at positions 49 to 486 of the family's 1533-position model. Lineage: Bacteria; Pseudomonadati; Pseudomonadota; Gammaproteobacteria; Enterobacterales; Enterobacteriaceae. The record is from RNAcentral.
UAACACAUGCAAGUCGAACGGUAACAGGAAGAAGCUUGCUUCUUUGCUGACGAGUGGCGGACGGGUGAGUAAUGUCUGGGAAACUGCCCGAUGGAGGGGGAUAACUACUGGAAACGGUAGCUAAUACCGCAUAACGUCGCAAGACCAAAGAGGGGGACCUUCGGGCCUCUUGCCAUCGGAUGUGCCCAGAUGGGAUUAGCUUGUUGGUGAGGUAACGGCUCACCAAGGCGACGAUCCCUAGCUGGUUAGAGAGGAGGUCCAGCCACACUGGAACUGAGACACGGUCCAGACUCCUACGGGAGGCAGCAGUGGGGAAUAUUGCACAAUGGGCGCAAGCCUGAUGCAGCCAUGCCGCGUGUAUGAAGAAGGCCUUCGGGUUGUAAAGUACUUUCAGCGGGGAGGAAGGGAGUAAAGUUAAUACCUUGCUCAUGACGUACCCGCAGAA